UGUACCACCUUGUCGGGUAGCUUAUCAGACUGAUGUUGACUGUUGAAUCUUAUGGCAACACCAGUCGAUGGGCUGUCUGACAUUUUGGUAUC
RNAcentral lists this microRNA precursor (92 nucleotides) under Ictidomys tridecemlineatus (thirteen-lined ground squirrel). RNAcentral's name for it is "microRNA 21 (ENSSTOG00000024825.1)". The stretch from base 11 to 82 matches the Rfam family "mir-21 microRNA precursor family". Lineage: Eukaryota; Metazoa; Chordata; Mammalia; Rodentia; Sciuridae. The record is from RNAcentral.